CUUUCAUCCACUGCUGCCUCGCACGUGUCAUACUUUAUUAUUGAACCAUUGUUUCAUUUUUCAAGGAGAUAAGUCCUAAGACCGCCGAUUCGUAUCACCUCUAUGCUAGUGUACUGCAAGGUGAGGCAAUAUUGGAUUCAUAAGUGAGCUCAUCAAGAGCUGUGUCCCAUCAAACUUUUAUUCUUGAAUCCGACGUUAAAUUGUAGUAAAGAGCUAGCAAGAUAAUCCACUUUCAUUGCCGGAUCUUUCUACGCAAGGAAUUGGAAAAGGCGAUCUGGAGAUUAUGACGGAUUCCUUUGCAUUCAACAGGCACACUUCCUUCCCAUCGAUGGAGAGUUCGGCAGGGGAUCUCGCGAGAGGAGAUAUCUGAGGAACGUACAGUCAGUGAAUUUAUCAGGCGUGAUGGAGAAAUUACACACCUCCAGUUUGACCUCGCCACGACCGGGAAGAAUUACUGUACGAAAACUCAAGGAUCGUGGGGCUACAGGAGUGAGAAGAAAAGCAUCCGUUUCCGGGUGAGAUAUAGGGCCUCCCGCAGAUAAAGAGUACGCAGUCGAUCCAGUCGGAGUAGAAAGCAGGAUGCCGUCAGCCUAUGUUGAGGUCAGAUGUUGUCCGUCAAAAUAGGUAUCCACCACAGUAAGAUGCGUAUUGCGGCCUCGAUGCAGAGCAACUUCGUUCAUAACCUGCCAUCCUGCUUCACCUACUAUGGCGACAUUAGCUUGCUGUUGACGAGCUGAGGUCGUUUGUCCAGCACCCACCACUCUCAGUACAUCGGUUUAAUGGGUCUCCAUCGACGGCAAUAGGUUUGCAUGCUAGCCGCAUUCUGUUUAACACUGAUACGGGGCCCUUGAGAGUGUUCUCCAGAGCCGAUGACAAAGCACUGAUAUCUAGCCGACCCGUCAGUACGUGCUCUCGCGACCAGUAAGUGAGAAACAUACGAAAUGGAAGCAGGAAACCCAGAGAUCCCAUAGAGAAGCUUAGCACUGGAGGGCAUUCACCUUGAGAGAAAAGGUUAGAAACGUGCAAUAUCGUGCCGUCACCGCCUAAAGUUAGGACUAGAGAUGUAUGAAGAGGCAAUAAUGCCUGAUCGCCCGGC
RNAcentral lists this small RNA (1096 nucleotides) under Cryptococcus neoformans H99. RNAcentral describes it as "Cryptococcus neoformans var. grubii H99 hypothetical RNA". The record is from RNAcentral. Lineage: Eukaryota; Fungi; Basidiomycota; Tremellomycetes; Tremellales; Cryptococcaceae.